RNAcentral lists this long non-coding RNA (556 nucleotides) under Carassius auratus (goldfish). RNAcentral's name for it is "lncRNA (ENSCARG00000023095.1)". The record is from RNAcentral. Lineage: Eukaryota; Metazoa; Chordata; Actinopteri; Cypriniformes; Cyprinidae.
CACACGCACGCACGUUCAGAAGGACAGUGGGCUGUCCGGUGUAGCAUCAUUAGCUCAGCGGAGACGUGGCGGCCCUGACACAUGUCGAGCGGCGUGCAGCCAACCCACGGACGAGCACGAGUCGCUCCUGCAUAAUUUGAAGUCAUCCAUGGCAGAGCUUUGAGGAUCCUUCCCGGCGUUCCCCAUGACUUGAACGGAGCAUCGCUCAGCGCCAUGAUGGCCCUAUUCACACUCAGGUGCCUGACAUUUAAAAUCACCAUCCACUUUCAACAGCAGCUCAGAUGUUCUGCAGAAUGUCUCCUUGUGUUCCACCAAAGAAAAAAGGUGAGUAAAUAAUGACAGGUACUAUUUUCAUCUUUGAGUGAACCAUACCUUUAAGGUUUCUGAAGAUUAAACAUGAUGUUUUUUGAGAGUUAGAAAGUCUGCAAGAAAGUAGUGUAGAUGUUGUUUGUGUAGUUUGUAUGCGGAAUAAUGUGUGAUUGUGCACAUUUUCUUACAGGUUCACACACACACACACACACACGCACCAGGAGGGAUCUGAAGCCCACGCGAUACA